RNAcentral lists this ribosomal RNA (516 nucleotides) under uncultured bacterium. RNAcentral describes it as "bacterial SSU rRNA". It matches the Rfam family "Bacterial small subunit ribosomal RNA", at positions 993 to 1509 of the family's 1533-position model. The record is from RNAcentral.
GAACUUAGCAGAGAUGCUUUGGUGCCUUCGGGAACUCUGAGACAGGUGCUGCAUGGCUGUCGUCAGCUCGUGUUGUGAAAUGUUGGGUUAAGUCCCGCAACGAGCGCAACCCUUAUCCUUUGUUGCCAGCGGUUCGGCCGGGAACUCAAAGGAGACUGCCGGUGAUAAACCGGAGGAAGGUGGGGAUGACGUCAAGUCAUCAUGGCCCUUACGGCCAGGGCUACACACGUGCUACAAUGGCGCAUACAAAGAGAAGCGACCUCGCGAGAGCAAGCGGACCUCAUAAAGUGCGUCGUAGUCCGGAUUGGAGUCUGCAACUCGACUCCAUGAAGUCGGAAUCGCUAGUAAUCGUAGAUCAGAAUGCUACGGUGAAUACGUUCCCGGGCCUUGUACACACCGCCCGUCACACCAUGGGAGUGGGUUGCAAAAGAAGUAGGUAGCUUAACCUUCGGGAGGGCGCUUACCACUUUGUGAUUCAUGACUGGGGUGAAGUCGUAACAAGGUAAGCGUAGCGAG